AUAUAACGUUGAGAAGUACUAGCUGGGUGUUGAAUGCAAGCUUGGUUGUGUAAGUUUGGGAGCAUUUUUGCUUCAUACCGUUGAGCAUCCAUUUUCAUUGCUGAGCAACCAGUUUUAUGAAUGCUUUGGCACUAAGAGGUAGGAGGACACCAUUGAACGUUAUCUUUCACUACAUGUUUGGAGUAAUUUAAUUCCAGGAUGUUGAGAGGUAGAUAAGUGUCGUUGAGCGUGACUUUUUGCAAGAAGAAUGGUUUUUAGCGCCAAGGCUACGUCAUCUUUUGCGAGAAGCCUAGGCGCCACCUCUAAGCACCAAUCUGUAAGAAUAAGUGUCUCUUUACUCUAAUGAGACACAUCUAUCAACAAUUGACACCUAGUCUCCGAUUAGAAAACACGGUACUCGAUUUCAACCAUCAGUAAUCGC
This 421-nucleotide small RNA is filed under the name Vigna angularis var. angularis. RNAcentral describes it as "Non-protein coding transcript". Lineage: Eukaryota; Viridiplantae; Streptophyta; Magnoliopsida; Fabales; Fabaceae. The record is from RNAcentral.